RNAcentral lists this transfer RNA (77 nucleotides) under Agrobacterium pusense. Its description in RNAcentral is "Rhizobium pusense tRNA-Met". It matches the Rfam family "tRNA". Rfam says of the family: Transfer RNA (tRNA) molecules are approximately 80 nucleotides in length. Their secondary structure includes four short double-helical elements and three loops (D, anti-codon, and T loops). The record is from RNAcentral. Lineage: Bacteria; Pseudomonadati; Pseudomonadota; Alphaproteobacteria; Hyphomicrobiales; Rhizobiaceae. RNAcentral also lists the same sequence under 2 other names.
CGUGGAGUAGAGCAGUCAGGUAGCUCGCCAGCCUCAUAAGCUGGAGGUCGUGAGUUCGAAUCUCACCUCCGCAACCA